Molecule: long non-coding RNA, 217 nt
Filed under: Oryza brachyantha (malo sina)
Lineage: Eukaryota; Viridiplantae; Streptophyta; Magnoliopsida; Poales; Poaceae
Description: long non-coding RNA (OBRA_LNC002245)
Source: RNAcentral
GUUGUGUCACCCCGCUCUUCACCUCCUACUGCCUCUCUCUUCCCCCAUUUACAGUAAAUUUUUUAUUUGAUUUAAUUCAAAGAUGCAUAACAUCAUCAUAUUUAUUUCUCUUUCAUUUUAAAUGAGGUUUAAAAAAUAAGUUCCUAAAAUUUUCUAAUUUCUAACUCUUUAUUACCAAUUUCAUUAUUUUUAUUUCAAUUUAUUUAUUAUUUAAAUA